This 522-nucleotide ribosomal RNA is filed under the name uncultured bacterium. RNAcentral's name for it is "bacterial SSU rRNA". It matches the Rfam family "Bacterial small subunit ribosomal RNA", at positions 33 to 518 of the family's 1533-position model. The record is from RNAcentral.
ACGCUGGCGGCGUGCCUAAUACAUGCAAGUCGAGCGCGGGAAGCGGACUCGUCACCCUUCGGGGUGUCUAGUCCGUGGAACGAGCGGCGGAUGGGUGAGUAUCACGUGGGCAACCUGCCUGUAAGAUUGGGAUAACUCGCGGAAACGUGAGCUAAUACCGAAUGAAGUCUUUCACCACCUGGUGAAAGGAUGAAAGAUGGCUUUUAGCUAUCACUUACAGAUGGGCCCGCGGCGCAUUAGCUAGUUGGUGGGGUAAAGGCCUACCAAGGCGACGAUGCGUAGCCGACCUGAGAGGGUGAUCGGCCACACUGGGACUGAGACACGGCCCAGACUCCUACGGGAGGCAGCAGUAGGGAAUCUUCCGCAAUGGACGAAAGUCUGACGGAGCAACGCCGCGUGAAGUGAUGAAGGUCUUCGGAUCGUAAACUCUGUUGUCAGGGAAGAACAAGUUGUGUUCUAACAGGACAUGACCUUGACGGUACCUGACCAGAAAGCCCCGGCUAACUACGUGCCAGCCGCCGC